UAAAUCCUAAGAGAUAUAGAAACGUCGCCUUCUACUGUUCAUCUUCUCCAUCAUCUGAGCCAACCCUAACUCGCCUGGAAACUCAGGCAAGUUCACUCACACACGGGCCCCAUCUUCACCACGUCACCAAAGAUUCUAACGGCUUUUGACAUAUUCCCUCUCCCAUGUGCUAGACACGUUUUGGGUUUUCUUGAGGAUGAAUUCCGAAAAAUGAGGGGCCGUGGAUUGAUUUUGAGUCAAUCCUCUCCUUCCAUCUGUCCGAAUUCGUUCUAUAAGGAUUUUGUUUUCGGAUUUCUUGAAGAGAGGGGGAGAAGCUUUGAGAGGUACUGUAAAUAGGAGGUUAUCUCAGAGAUUCGGGGGUCUUCUGUUUUUUUUUUGAGAGAGAAAUUAAAGAAAAAAUCAAAAGCUAGGGCUUCAAGUUUUUUUUUUUCUGAUUUUCAUCUUCUUUAUUUUCAAAUUCAUAGACGUACACAUAAAAAAUGUUGAGUGUUCUUUCUCUGAUUUGGUUUUGACUACUAUUUUAAAGGUCAAGGUAUAUAGACAUUCAAUCCCUUCUUUUGUAUUGAUUUUUUCUAGUUAAAAAAUGGAAUUCGAUUGAAAGUUGUUGAGUCCGUUGCUGCUCGUGGUUCCAAGUUCGAUUUGUUGCCGGGAUUUGACAUUUGUUGUAAACAAGUUAAAGGUUUUCUUGUUAAUUGAAGAAGAUUUUCUUUGAGGUAUAUUUUCUUAUUUUUGUACUAAGUUCAUGGACUUAAAUCUCAGUCCAUAGUUCUACUCGGUCUCUGCUUUCUCUUUUUUUUUAUUUCUCUUAUGAAUGGUCUGAUUUGUGUGUUUGUCUUGCUUCAUUAGUGGCUCUAUGAUUAAGUCUUGAUCCCUUUUUUUUUUUUUCUGUUAUCUUAGAUUAGCUUGGGUUGGGAUUUUUACAUAAUUUUUUUUAUUGAGGAAAAUUUGCGGAUUUUUUGUAUUAUGAUUAUUGAAUCAUUAGUCCGUCACUAUUCUAUUUUUAAAUUCUGGUUUUGAGCCAUGUUGUUUAUGGAUUUUAGGCUUCUUUGUUUAUAUGAAUGCCAUCACUAUUUAUGGAUUUUUAAAUUCUGGUCUUAAAUUUUAGCAAUUUCUAGUUGUUUCUUUGUGGUGGGGAGGUGAUUGCUUAAUUGUUACAAUAGUUUAGUGGGAAAGUUUGUCAUGUUGAGCGUUGAAAAGGAAGGUUAACCCUAUCUUUCUAGGAUCAGAUUGUUAACAUUAUCCCUACUUUCUUAAACAUUUCGCUCGUUUUCCUCCAAAUCUAAGCAUGUGAUUAGUAUUUUUCUUAAAAUGAUUUGUAUAUUUUCUGUUGGAUUUGAGCAUGGAGGGAUCUGUUUUAUGUGAAUUCAAAAACAGUGUAGUGGAAUCCCAUGGUUUUGAUUGAACAGACUAGUUUGGUUAGUUUCAUUUCUACUUAGACAAUAUUAUGCUCACUCUUUUUUCAGGUUUGGAUCAUAUAUUAAACUCAUCUGAUUUUUCCUUAUUUUCUAUAUUUGAUGCGUACAUGAUACAUAUCUCAUGGAGUCUGUGAAUUGAAUUCGUUUGUUCACGUGCUUCAUAAGUUCAGAAUAUCGUCUAUUUUUAUCUUUAAGGAAUACUGGGUCGUGGGAAUUGGUUCAAUCUUUGAAUCCUGAAGCUACAUCAUUCCAAGUAUAGUAUUUAUGCGUCUAUGGUAUUAGUUAGUUAAGCAUGUAGCAUGAAAGCUUAGGUUAUUCAAAUAAGAGGCAAAUGAAGCAAAAUUCGUUUGGAUGGCGCCGAGGGUGUUGAGUCGAAGUAAAAAAUGAAAUUGGCCUUAAAUGUCUAUUGCUUUAUUUUUGUUACAUUAUCCGCUAGGAGUAUGUUUAGGCCGUUAAUUUUCAAAUAUCGUGGCUUUGCUUUAGAUGCGUUUAAUAUAUCGUAGUGAUUGUGGACACGUUUGCGUGACAUAAUUACGAUUCUUAAAAAUAGAUUGAGGUGUGCCAUUCAUAAUUAAAUCACCUAUGGCCCUCGCAUUAAUAUUAUAACUUAGGUAUAAAGAAUGAAUAUUCGUAGUUUGCUUUAGGCAUGAAUUAAUCUAUCAUCGUGAUUGUGGACACGUUCGCGUGACAUGGUUACGAUUUUUUUUUUAAAAACAAAAUUGGAGUAUGCGUUCGCGCAACUUCGACUAAACAUUCUUAAUAAUAAUAAAGCGUUACUAAUUAUGGACACGUUCGCGUGACAUAAUUUUGACGCGCCAAACAAAUGGGUACACGCGCGUGACCCAUUUAGAGACAAUUUCUUAAUUAAAAGAGGUAAAUGCACAUAGGUUCUGAAAUAAGUAAUUAAAUAAUUUUAAUAAUCCAAGUAUGAUCAAAGCGACCGUGCUAAAACCACGGAAUUCGGUAAUGCCUAAUACCUUCUCCCGGGUUAACAGAAUUCCUUACCCGAAUUUUUGUGUUCCCAGACCGUGAAUAGAGUCAACUUCCUCGAUUCGUGAUUUUAAACCGGUGACUUAGGAUACCAUAAAUUAUCUCAAGUGGCGACUCUGAUUUAAUAUAAAUAAUCCCGUUUCGAUUGUCACUUAAAUUGGAAAAAACUCUCUUUAUACCCUUUCGGGGUAGGGAAAAGGAUGUGUGACACAUGUUGUUAUGUUUUUACGUGAUUUCUUAUCGCUCAGUCUUCAUUUAUCGUUAUUACUCACUGAGUUGGAGUACUCACUUUACUCCCCGCAUCCUGUGUGCAGAUUCAGGAGCUUCAGGUCCUGCUAGCGAGGGUGAUAGCUUCCAGCAGAUUUUCGGAGUUCACUAGGUAGCUGCUCGGCGUUCGCAACCCAGUGUUUCUCCCUCCUAUUUUAUUUCCCUUGUACUAGUUAUGUAAUAGAUUGUGUAAGCUCUUUCAGACUUGUAGACUUAUAUAGAUACUCAUGACUGGUGACACCCUGAUGCCGGGUUGUGUCUAAUCCGCAAAUUGUAUUGUUUCACUAUUUAUUUGGGAUUUAAUCAUGUUAAAGACUUAAAUUGUGAUAUUUUAAUAGCUU
Molecule: long non-coding RNA, 3013 nt
Filed under: Nicotiana tabacum (common tobacco)
Lineage: Eukaryota; Viridiplantae; Streptophyta; Magnoliopsida; Solanales; Solanaceae
Description: long non-coding RNA (NTAB_LNC013195)
Source: RNAcentral